This 253-nucleotide ribosomal RNA is filed under the name uncultured bacterium. Its description in RNAcentral is "partial 16S ribosomal RNA". It matches the Rfam family "Bacterial small subunit ribosomal RNA", at positions 524 to 776 of the family's 1533-position model. The record is from RNAcentral.
UACGAAGGGGGCUAGCGUUGCUCGGAAUUAUUGGGCGUAAAGAGCUCGUAGGCGGUCUGUUGCGUCCGCUGUGAAAACUCGGGGCUUAACCCCGAGCCUGCAGUGGAUACGGGCAGACUAGAGGUAGGUAGGGGAGAAUGGAAUUCCCGGUGUAGCGGUGAAAUGCGCAGAUAUCAGGAAGAACACCCGUGGCGAAGGCGGCUCUCUGGGACGGUACUGACGCUGAGACGCGAAAGCGUGGGGAGCGAACAGG